AAGGAAGAUAAUGACGGUACUUGAGGAGGAAGCCCCGGCUAACUACGUGCCAGCAGCCGCGGUAAUACGGAGGGGGCUAGCGUUAUCCGGAUUUACUGGGCGUAAAGGGUGCGUAGGCGGUCUUUCAAGUCAGGAGUGAAAGGCUACGGCUCAACCGUAGUAAGCUCUUGAAACUGGGAGACUUGAGUGCAGGAGAGGAGAGUGGAAUUCCUAGUGUAGCGGUGAAAUGCGUAGAUAUUAGGAGGAACACCAGUUGCGAAGGCGGCUCUCUGGACUGUAACUGA
Molecule: ribosomal RNA, 284 nt
Filed under: Clostridioides difficile
Lineage: Bacteria; Bacillati; Bacillota; Clostridia; Peptostreptococcales; Peptostreptococcaceae
Description: partial 16S ribosomal RNA
Rfam family: Bacterial small subunit ribosomal RNA
Source: RNAcentral